GCAGCAUCUAAAAUCUUGGAAACCGACUGUGGAGGGAAGGCAACACCAAUUACCAACUCCUUACGACACACCACUCAAAGGAAACAGAAGUGGAAUUUACUCCCAAUGAAAGCUACUCUGCAGUUGAAGAUUAUUUAAUCUUCAUCUCCACAGAGAUGAGAACUUGAAGAACCAGAACAGUUGUGUCAUUUCACCAUAAAAACUGCACCUAGCCAAGGGAGAACCUCCAGAUGGCACUUGGGGGUUUUUGUCUUCUUUGGUAACACAAGAGAACCUGGUCACACACCUUUCAAAGCUGCUCCCAACAAGAGCUCGUGACAGUGCUCGCCCAUCCUCAGGCAGGACUCACCCUGUCGGCCGUGGCGUUGCUGAGGAUCAUCUCCUGAACGCUGUUGUAGUAUUUUGGGGAACACAGCCUGCCAGGAGCAACGUUCACAGCCACGGAGAGAGCCAGGCUCCGGCCGUGCCUCACCAUCCAGUCGAUGCCAGACACGUCUGCUGCAGAGGAAAGAAGAGAACUAUGGCAAGUCCCCCACCAUCCAUUCCUCUUCAUCUGAGGAGGCUUCUGGCAGUUUGUCAAUUCACUGCCAUAAAAUGAAAAAACAAGAAGCAUCUAAAGGGGUGCCUUGAUUCCUUCACUCCUCCCAAAAAGAGCUAAAACACAACACCUGUACCAGGCAGGAACAGCACCUGGGCAGACAGGGAAGCACACACAAACAAGGGACUCUCUUGUUCAACUCAAGUACUUCUGAUGGUUGCAAAAUUAUACAGGCUUUGACUCUCUAAUAAAAUUGUAAAAGUCAUUUGUAAUUUGAUACCAGUUAACAGAUUCCCUUUUUAAUCUCACAGGGGAGAGUGAUCCGUAGCACUCCCAAACAAUAUGAGUUCCUAUAAAAUUUGUGGUUUUUUUCUAACUUGGACACAAAUCGGUCAGUUCUUCAGAAGCAUGUGAAGCCACCACGUGUGGUCUGCAAUUACCAUGAGCCAAAAGGUGGGAUGGCCCUCCUGUCCACCCUUGCCUGAACAUCCUGUCACCUCCCACCCUCUCUGUGUCAGCACCAGAAAUUACUCAGCCAUGUUGGUACUUUUAUCAAGUCAUCUGAUAACAAAUCCAGGGAAAAAAGAGUCUGGUUAUCCCCAAAUGACAACCAGUACCCUGUGCUCACUGUGUACCAGGGUGCACAAAUUAACAGCCACGGGUAAAGAAACGCACAAGAAAAUACAGAGCAGAGAUUCAGUCCCAAAGCCUGAACCAGGGGCUGAGAAGGAAUCUUGCCUGCUUUCAGAAUCAGUUCCAGUCCCUGUGAACAGCUUCACCUACCCAGUAAGUGCUGGUGGAGAACAGUGCUGAGCUCCUCGUCCGACAGGAACGCGCACAGCUCCGCGAGGCAGCCGGCCGAGGCCAUGCGGGUGGCGUCCUGAGGGGGAAUGGGAGAGCAGGAACACGGGUUCAGCUCAACACACCAGGGACAGGCAGCAAGCAGAGCAAGUGCCAGAAGAUGACAGGAAACAAAAAGAGAAGGAGGAAAUAAAUAGUAGUAUUUCACUCCUAAUCCCUGUGGAUUUCUGUCAGUUCACAAGGUUUUUUUUACAUAAUGGAACUUAAAGCCAAAUCCAUGGUCAAAAAAGCCAGCAGAGACUGAAGAAUUACAGAUCUUAUCUAAGUUCUGAUUUGUUAAAUGGAAAAGUCAUAAAGAUGAAAGUGAAUGUUUUAAAAGAUGUGUUCACAAGAGUUUACUUUAGAUUCACUUACUAUAAGUGUUACUUCUAGCCAUCUCUGGAUGAGCUCAUCUCUGUGAUAAACUCUUACUACUUUUAAUUUAACACUCCCAGGCUGUUGUUAUUUUGGCUUCCUUAUGUGACGAUCCCAUUACUGAUCUUCUCACUGAAACUUACAACCCAAUGGGAAUGUUUCAAUUUUUCUAUUUCUAGAAUGUCAACAGUUGCAUGUCUGUUGCACUGACUGACAUAAGAAAGAAAUUAUUAGAUGAUUAAUUUUAAUCUCACAGAUGUUACUGUUGCUAUCUGUCAUAUAAAAAAGACCCUAUAUUAAACUUGGAGAGCUUCUUGCUUGUUGGAGAAAAAUCUGCCAUUAUCUGAAAAAUUUCUCACACUAAACAAUAAACCCCAGCUGAGAGGCUUCAAACACACAUCCGUGCUCACAGGGAGGGUACUGCAGGUUUUCUCCAAGAUAAAAAGCAAAUCCUGACUGUAGAGCUGGCUCAAACCUGUUGGUGAGGAGCUACAGGUCAAACCCACAUAAGCAGUUGCCAAGGAAACAUUAAACUGGCAGAUUUUCAGAGUUACUAGGGACUGGGCCAGGGAUCUCCAAUUCUUGCUCCUGACUACAUCAUUAGGAAUUUCCUCGGAAGUUAUUUUAGAAAAUAACUCUGUUAGAAGGUUCAGAUCUUAAAUGUAAGAGAAAGACUGUCUGCAGCAGGGGUCCUUCCUCUGCAGCUGGCUGAAGCAGUACCUCAUCGUGUCCCAGCAUCCCCAGAAGCACCGUGCUGAUAUUCUUCCUAAUUGCAGCAUCGACUUUUGCACCAGCUCCUCGUGUCACAAACCGCAGCGCUUGCAGCAUCGUGUCCCUGGAAGAGAAAUUUUGCUCUGGAUACCUGCAGCAAAUUCUUGCACAGCAAUUACACUGAUAUGCCUUACAGUUUGGGAGACUGAUCCUCUCUGUGCACUGCUGAAAACUCCAUCCUAGAGAGUACUUCCAUGUUUCUGUACUUGUGUCUGUCUGUUACACCAUAGAUAUUUUCUGACUGUUCAAACAUUAAAAAAAUUCUCAAGUCAGGAAGUCCAUGUCUUAGGGCUGUGUGCCCUUAGGAUACUAGAACAGCUGCAUUACUUCAGGUCAGACUGGCAGUUGAUAGUGUCUUUUAUCUGAAAGUGGGCUGCUGGGGGUGCCCAGGAGAGAGGAGAAGGGGGGAGGACACCAAGGACUGCUUCUCCCAAACACACUCACAGCUCAGCUUCUGACCCAGGCAGGCUCCAUCAUCCACACUUUUCACAACCCUGGGAUAACAGGUAACUGCUUUCACUAACAUGUUACUCUCAGAAUUGGGGGUUUUGUUCAUCCAUCCCAGCCCUUUCUUUCACCCUUAGUCAGCAGUAAAAUCUGAGCCAUCAGCUGCAGCUUACCUGAUGGCAGAGUCAUCGCUGGAACGAAUUCCAUUCAGGAGCUCCGUAAAGAGAGGAUCCACUUUGACGUGGAUGACAAUGAGUUUGCCGAGAGCAUCGGCAGCUUUAAGACGAACAGCACGGUUUGAGUCUUGUAGAGCUUUGGUGAAGGUUGUUUGCAACUGGGGCAAAAAUGGUUUCAGGGCAAUCUCAACCUAUUCCAGAGAUGGAAAAAUGGGAAGUGGUGGGGUCAAGUCUGAAACAGCAGCUGGAGAUCAAAGCCUGGAAACAGCAUGACCUCUACUACAGCAGUUUGUUAUCAGAGAGCCCCUGUUAGAUCUAAUGUGCUACUAAAAGAGGAAAAACAUGAAACAAUAAUUUACCACAAAACCAUUAACCUUUUCAAAUUUAAUCUUAUUUUCUGCAUACUGAAACACAAGGGUAACGCUGAGAGAUUUUACAGUCAUGAACAGCCUUUUGUAUACAGAGCACUGAAUAAAAGCUCAGCUUAGUUCAAAGAUACAUAAGAUCUUUGCACUUAACAAUUCAUAAAAAUGGUGGACACAGGAGAGAUUAAUUACAUGGAGGGCUUUAAUCACUGGAAAGUGGGAUCAGCAUUUAGCAAUAUUUAUAAAAAAGACCAGUAAUUCAGCACUGGGGGCUCUUUUGGUAGGCCAGAAGCUGCUGGAAGAAUGCAAUCCAGUUACAGUGCUAUCCCUAAAUAUCAAAUCCACAGCAGCAGGCAUCCCAGCUGUAUUUACAUGAACAGCAACAGAUAUUUCUGAAGGUUAUCAUGGAAAAUGUUCACAAACCACCAAUACUUUGAAUCUUACCUUAGCUAAAAGCAGGCUUAAUGUUUCAAGCAGAGCCACCUUGACAUUCCAGCUGAACCGAUCUCCCAAAAUUCGAAUAAGCGGCCCAGUGAUGCUCACCACAGAUGGUUUAAGAGCUUCAGCAGAAGUCAGCUUAAUAACCAGCCCUAAGGCCUUUGCUGCCUCCUCCUUCUGCUCUGGAUUACCAGUUAAAACACCUUCUCGCAGCACCACGAGUAUUGAAGUCACUCCCUGUCACGAAAAUCAGAUAAGAAAGCUUAGAAGCUAAGAUGCAAAAAAUAUGUACCUUAUUUUUGCUCUCAUUAUGCACCAGAUGCACAAACUUGGAGGGUUUCUCUCAAUUUCCUGUUGACCUUCAGCUGCCUGAUUCCACAUUGACAGACCUACUUUUACUUGGUUUGAUUUCAUGCCUCUCUGCCUUACUAAGCCAGUUGCUAUGAGGAAAGUGGUGGCAGCUCAGGGAAUUUUUAAACCAGACAAAUUUGGCACAGAAGUCCAGUGUUACUCGCCCACAAAAAGCAGCCAGUGACCAUGACUUACAUGCAUAACAGAAUUGUCAGAGACCUCAUUACAAGAGGACUCUUCUGGAGGGUAACUCAGGAGAGCUGUAACCUACAAAAAGUCUCUCCAACACACAGGUUUGGAAUGCCCAAAUAGCUGCUGCUUCUAAGAGCUGUAAAGUCAUAUCAGUCAGCUCUCCCCAGAGGUGGGUGUCUUGUGGCUGUGAUGAAUCCACAUCCAUUCUGAUCCUUUACCUUCUUAGGAAUACAGAAUCCCGGCACAUGGUCCCCCUUGGCCUCAUUCCCUACAAUCCGGAUAUCCCUGUGCAGGUCCUCAAUGAGAGCAAGCUGGUUCCCAGCAUCUAAUUUCUGCAGAACAGAGGGAAGAGACAAAGAUGAGGCAACAUGGCAUCCAUGUUCUUUGUGAAGUCUUCUUGGGCCAGGCAUUACCCUGACACCUUUUCAAGAUGCCUCUCACCUUGGUGAUGGAAUUAAGCGCAUCCCAGCUUUCAUUCAGAACCACAGGGUUGGUGUCAUUAAACAGACGAAUCAAGCCCGAAACCAAGCUCCUGAGAUGACCAGUGUAGUCUGCUUUUGUCUUGGAGCAGUAGAUAUUCAGCAUGACAGCUGCUGCCUGUCUCAUGCCCAGCUCAGGGCUGCGGGUAGCUUCUAGCAAAUCUUCAGUUAUAAUUCUUUGUCCAACAUCAUCUUCCACAGACAGGAUUACAGACUGGCAGUUUGCCAUCUCCUGAAGAGUCCCAAUUAACUUUACAUUAGCUCUCAAACAGAACAGAUUUAGCCCCAGCAUUUUCUCUUAGAGAAAUACUACAACACACCUCACUUGCUAAUUGUUUCUCAUUAAAUAGCUGCUAACAUCACCACUAAAAGCUUGUCUCAGUCCUGGAGCAGACAUAGGUUUAUGACCAAUUCUUAACAUUUACCAAGUGACCAAACUCUGCUGCACCAGCUACAGGAGGGCUAAUUUACAAAAAUUAAGAGUAGUUCAGUCUUCCCCAUCUUACUCAUCCAAGACAGACUGUGAGUCUUGUCAGAUAACAUUCUUCUGAUUUAGGUAGUUUAAUGCUGUGAGUCAUAACACUAAUUACAAGCACAUCUGUGGGUACAUGAGAGAUCUCCAGGCAGACUUGGGGCUAGAAGCUGAUCUAAUGGUUAUCCGUGGCAGACAGACAACAGGACUCUGUCACUCAUUCCUAAUUCACUGACUGAUUAUGUACAUGUCUGUCCGCAGUCACAACUCCAGGAUGUUCUCUGGAGUCCAAACACCAGAUGUUUUGGAAAGCAGUACAGGAGGAGUGCUGCAUGCAAAACAGGAGAUUUCCUUCCUGCAGCCCUUUAAUCUCUCAGUCUUCUACACCAAGAAUAAAUAUGAAGUUAACUAGACACUCUGGCAGUUCUCCAGGAAUAAGUAAACUGAGAAUUGUGUCUUGUAGCAGGCCAAAGAGACUUUUAAAUGGAUACAAAUAGAUUUGGAAAGCAUACGUUUUUUGACUCACAAUAUGCCACCAGGCAAAAAGACUCAUCCUGGAGAAGCUAAUGGACUGAAUUAAACAUGCAAUCUGUGAAUCUAGAGAACACAGAUUCUGGGCUGGGAAGUAAACCUGAUGCACUAUGUUCAGGCAACCUGUCACAACAAAGAGCUGAGCUGUGCUACUUGCCAAUUGCUCUUCACUGGUGCCCAGCUUCUCUUUGAGUGCAGACAUCAUGGCAGGCAGGAUGACACUCAAGUGCCGUGUCAGAGCGUCCCCUGCCACUGAGGAGAGGAAAGCCAGCACACGGGUGUUCACUGGAGGGGUAGUCAGCUACAAAACCCAAAAAAAUAACACCAAAAAAAUGAGACAAAGUUAUUUCAGAAGGAAUCUCACUUCAUCUACAACAUGAAAAAUUUAUGCAUCGCAACCCAAAUUACAAUGUUUUGAGCUUAAAAUCAGAAGAAAAUUUCAAAUUAUGAUCUUCCUUUUGCCAUAUUGGUCCAAAGAAAACUGGCAGCAAGCAGAGGAAACAGCACAGAUAUGAAGUUAAGAAUUUGUUUCCCGUUGUACCUUUGGCACCAAGUAAGGCAGCACCACACGGCUCUUGACAGCCAUAACUUGUUUAAGACCAUCCACAGCAAAGUCAGCUGUCUCUUCAUUAUCCUACAGGGAAAGAGAAAGUAACAAACCUGAGAAAUUAUCUGUGACACACUGAGUUAAACCCUGUUUCAAGGGACAAUUUACCCUGUGAUCAUAUAACCAAAACCAAGCCCUUCUAUUGAAAAAUGUUCUCUUACUACAUAGCAAGACCAAAACCACACUCUUCUGUCACAUUAGAAAGAUUUUCCAUUUCAGGCAUAGUGGCCAAGCAACUUAAGCAGAUGACAAUGGCAAUUCCAUAGCACAGCCAGGUGUAGCAACUUUUAGGCCUAAGCUUUAGCCACAAGAUCCUUCCUACCAAUGGCUAGGAUGACUCCAUGGAGGAGACAAAAUAUCGCUGCCAUUCCCUGGAAGGUCUGCCUCUAAAAUCCUCCUUCUCCUUUAAGUAAAUUAUUCAAAACUUGUCCCACAGCAUCAUUAAUCAGGUUGUUGACUAAUGCUGAGCAAUGCUCACCAGCUGCUUCAGCAAGAAGGGCAGGAUGUCUUCAAGAGCCUGAUGGCCAAUUGUUGAGUGCAGCUGUUCAAAUGUUUUGGCUGCAGCCUCACGGACUUCUUCCAGGGGGUCACACAGUGCUUUUCUCACUGUAGGAACCAGGGACUCGGAGAAAAGCAGAACCUGAAGAGGUAAAAUUACAGAAUUCCUAAAGCACAACAGUCACAUUUAUCCUAGUGAAGUGGCUGAGAAUGCAGAAUUUGCACAACUGAAACUAAAUUGCAGUUUAAUUGAAAUAUAUUGGCAGACAAGCAGAGUUACUCAGUACAAACAAGCUGCAGUGCUCUAAGGCUACCUAGUGGAAGAUUUUCAUAUAAGUCAGAACUGUGCAAUGUUAGACUUUACCAACAGAUACAAAUCCAUACAUUUGCCUGAACAGCAACUCAGUGUAGUUAUAAGCCCUGAAUUCAGUCCACAGAACAAGUCCAGCACUAUGUGUAUUAUUCUGUCUGAAGUGCAGUACCUGCACCAUAACAUAAAUACCUUGGAAACUGAGAAUUUCCCCCUGGAACAUCUAACUCACCGCAUCCCUGCUGGUCGAUUUCAUGAUCUCGCUCAACCCGAUGCAGACUCCUUGUCUCUCAUCACUCUUGUCUGACUUCAGCCCAUCUUCCAGGAUAGGAAUGAUUUCAGGAAGGAUCUUCUCUCCUAACUUUCGGACAAGGUCUCCUAAUGUCCGUGCUGCAACCUGUCCCCAGAAAUGUAUUAAUUAACUAUUCUCCUUUUUAUAAAACUUAAGAAGGUGAAACUUAAGCAAAUGUUAACUUCUGAUCAUAACCUACUGUUCACAGUACGAACAGAAACACUACUAUUACAAAUAACCACAGAAAAAUUAGUUUUACUCUCAUCACAGUUGCCUUCAGCAAACACAGAACUCAGACAUGCUCAUGCUCAGAACACUUAAAGUGGUGACAGCUUUGAAGUGAUUUAUCCUGUGUUCCUCAGGAAUCAGUUUCUAGAGUCACCUGCAGAAAGAGGAAGGUGCAACUCCAUUUCUCACCGUUCGCUUAUCUGCACAAGUACUGGCCAGGAAUUUCAGCAGAAGCCCAAAGAGUGUUGGCAAAAUUUCACGCAGCGUGCGAGGAGUGUUUGAGACAACAAUCUUCCAGACAUGCAGGGAGGCCUGGCGCACCACCAGCUGGGUGUCAGAGCGGCCCAUGUACAGCCCUGCCAGCACCCUGUUCCUCCUCUCCACUCCCAGAGCAUUAAUAAUAGCCUGAAAAGAAAUAGCAUAAAUUGUAUUAUCCACUCAUGAAACUUACAAAAAUACAUGAUUACUCAAUCUGUCUUUCCAGCAGGCUUUCCAUGCUGAUUUAAAAUAAGAAAAUUAAAAAAGAAAUAAAAGCACAACACACAAGAACAGCUUUACCUUGUUUGACUGGGCUGUUCCAAAGUUGUCAUCCUCUGAGGCAGUUUCUGUGGUCAUUUUUCCAGUGACUCCUGAGAUAUGGAAUAGAAGAUCUCCAAGGAGCUGAACUGAGCUAAACCUGCCAAGAGGAGCAAGUCAGGUGUUACAAACAGGGCACUCAGGUGGUACCUGUCAAAAUCUGACAGGACAUCAGCUACAGAUGGGAGCCAAAUGUGAGGCAGAGCUGUGUCAGCACUGAAACACUGCACAGGCUGAUGUGUAGCACCAGUCUGCCAACAUGGCUGAAAGCAGCAUGCUAAAGAGAAAGGGAAGGAAUGAAUUCCAAACUGGAAAGGCUGGGAGAAUUUCCAAAUCAAAGCAACGGAUCUGAGAAUGGCCUGGCUUCUAAAAAGGAGCAAGACAUUGCCAGCAUCUGUCUCAACCCAAAUGACAUUCACCUGGGGUAACAGCACUUAGCAGCACUCAGCUGACACAAAUCAUUUAGUGCAACUAAUUUUUGAGCAACUACUAUCAGCUGUGAGUGCUCCACUGCACAUUUCCAUACACAGGAGAACAAUAACUUACUCAGCAUUUGGAAAAAUGAAAAACAAUACAUGAGGGCUAAAUAUUGCCAAAUCAACUGCCUUGGAAGUGCAUUUCAGUCACCACCAGAAUUAAUAAUCCAGCAGGGAUACUCUGCAGGUAUCUGGAAACCUGAUCCAGGCUGGCAGGGCUUUGCAGCCUCAGUGUUAUAAGGCAUCAUACUCGAAUCAACAAGCAAAAAGACGCACUUGAUUUUGCUUCCUGGGAGGUUCUCUGCUUUUCCUUGAGGAGCAAUGCAGAGUCUAAAUCACACUAGCUUUUCAUCCAUGGAAAAGAAAUGUCUGUGGAUAAGCUGGUUAUCCCUUACCUUAUCCUCCAGAGGUCAUCAAACAGGCCAUCCUCGAGCUGGGGCAGGAGCAGCGCGAUGGCUGUCUCGGCGUACAUGCUGAUGAUGCGCUGCCCCGCCCGCAGCGCCGUGUCCCGCACGAACUCGUUCUCGUCUGCCAGAGCCUGAACACAGACACAAAAGGGGCUCUGAAAACUGGGGGGGGUUCAGCACAAUACACAAAAGCUACAGGAGGAAAACAAACCUAUGUUUUUCUCUCUCGGCCGUGAAAAGCAAAUGAACUGGGGAGUUGUGAAUGCACAAAGGUGAUUUCAAGAAAUGGCUGGUGACUACAAACGAAAGACAGCAAGCAAACAACUUGGAAGAAAAAAUAAUUUUUAUAAUUUAAAUUCCCCCUUUUUUCUGACAUGUCCCACAGUUUCUGGAAAUGAUACUUAAAAACACUCUGGAGACUUUUUUUUAAUCCUUUAAUAAAUAAAAUUCUUCAUGUCUGCUACAUACCUUAAGGAUACAAGGAAUGAUGGGUCCAACAUAGGGAGUGAACUUAUCUCCAAAGGUAAUUGGCAGGUAGUUGAACAUCAUGAUAUAACCAUCUCGUACAUGUGGAGCAAUAUCCACUUUACUGGCAGUAGCUACAAUCUCUGGCAUAAGUUUCUCCAGCUUUUCUACCCCCAAACCAGCCAUAACUUCAGCCAGACCUGAGGAAAAAAAGCAGGGAACAGAGCUGAUACACACGAGAAACAAGCAGCUCAUCUGGUUUAAUAGGAGAUUCAGACAUGGCUGUCCCCACCUUGAGCAGCACCAGAGCGAUCCACUGAGCUCUGCUCAUAUGUCAGUGUCUCCAUCAGCCACGGCAACAAAUCCUCAAAGCACGACUCUCCCAUCCCCUUCACCAUGGCUCCCAGUGCCUUUGCAGACACUGUGCGCACCUACAGACAAGAGAAACAGAGAUCUGCAACACACCCUCUCAGAGUUCCUACAACAGAUGUGUCAGACUGGUUAGGGCAAUGUCCAACCUAAUGCACUGAAAGAAAAACUUUGUACUAAAGGCUUACCUCAGGAACAGGAUCCAGCAGAGAUGCUUUCAGUCCAGGAGUCACACUGGGCAGGUAUGGAGCCAGAUCCUGAAACAAAGAACCCAGAGAGUAAGAACCAGAUUCAAAAUGAAGAAAACCAUAAGUCACCUUCUUGUAAAGGACAUUCACCCCUUAUUAUUAGCAAACAUCCCUAGUAUCCUGAGAGUUUAAUCAGUUGCUUUCACAAUCCUGCAAAUUAGCACAGUGAGUUGUUCUGCAAGUCCAAGAAACACCACCAGUUCUGUACAAAUCAAAACCUUUUCUAUGCUCACUCACAACCCAGCACUUUCUGUCUAAGGAAAAUCCAACUCUGUUAACAUUUACACAAGGUUUAAAUGUAGAGAUUAUCAGCACAAAAAUUAAACAUAGAUCUUAAGCCUACAUUCAGGUCCUACAAAUACUUUUCAAACAAACCCUGGAUCCAUUUGUAAGCAGCUGAUCUGUGCUUCACUUGUUUGUUUGUUAAGGCAUUUCUUAUAUAGUAAAAAUUACAAGACCUUUUUGCAGGGAUAAAUAUGGUACUAACUAGGUGACCAAAGCACAGAGCAGACAGUCUUAAGCAUCUGAGAACUGUCACUGUCUUUAGUCAUGAUCUGUUCAUUUAUAUACAUUUAAUUAAACAAUCUGCAUGGAUGCUAAUAUUUUCUACCUUAACAGGAAAAUCUCCAAGCCAAAUAAAUUCUCUCUAGGGCUUGCCUGUCAUCCCCUACCAGUAAUGUAUUAGAGUAAUACAGUUAGAGAGCAUUUUUAGCACCACACCUUCUGGUCAGUCAGGGAGUACAUGUUCCCAAUGAUCUGGGCAGCCAUUUUCCUGGUGUCUGUGGAACGAUCUUGAAAAGCUCUCUGAACAAUUGGCAUGAUCAGUGCUAAGGAUGGAGCAUCAAUGAAAUGGACAAAUUUGGUAUCCAGCAGAGUCUGCAGACACUUCUGGGUCUUCCUGGAGGGGUCAGUGAGAGCAUCCAACAGAACUGGAGCGAUUGCUGAACAUUUUUUAAAGGGAGAGAAAAAACUUUAUUUGUACCUAACCAAACACGCAUUGUCAGGCUGAGCUGGUGUUCUCUCAUAGGAUGUUUCAGAUCAUUCUAAAGGAACCAGCAGCACAGGGACAGAGGAAACCCUAUUAACACCAGCUGACAAAAGGGACAGGAGCAUUUAAAAAGCCUGGAAGCAGACAAGCUGUCAAGCUUGCAUGUUAUACUCCCAUAGGAGUAGUUUAAUUUCUAUAUGAAUUUGCAUUUGAACCUAAAUCUUGCUGUUAUAAACCACUGUCAUGUCAGGACAUUAGAGAUGCAGGCAGUUCUUACCCAGGAUCUCUGGGUUCCUGAUGACAGACCCAAUCUGCCUGAGAGCCUGCUGCCCUGCAUUCUGCACCUUCACGUGGGAAUCUGUCAGCACUUCAGUGAGUUUGGGCACGAUGUUGGGUAAGCAGGAAGAGAGCUGUUUGGGAGCACAGUAUGCCAUAGCCCCCAGCAGUUCCACUGAGCCUGUGCACAAAGUACACAAAAAAAAAUGAAAAAAGACAAGACAAAACACAAAACAAUACACAGCAUUAAGAAUCGAUAUGAGAAGAUAAUCACAUUUAUCUCAAAUUCAAAUCUACCAGUUGGAGAACACAAAGAAAGGCUGAAAUGCAUCAAGCCACUCUGUGACACCUAAAGACACUAAAAAAUACUUUUUUUUCUUUUGUACUCGGUAAAAGAAGUGUGGGAGGAAAAUUCCAGGUUCUGGUGUACUUCUAUAGAGACAGAAGUACAAACUGUCCCUGCAAUAUGCUGAGGGGAAAAAAGGUUGCCCAAAUGUGUCAGAGAACUCAUUUGUAUCUCAAGAGCUCUAAAAGUUCCACAGAUAAUAAACCAUCGCAGCCAUCUGUAGGGAUGAGGGGAAUGACAGAGAAGGGCACUGUGAGUUAGUCUCAUCUUGUCAGUCAGAUAUUGCUCCAUACCAGCUUUAGUUCUCCAAGAUUCCUCUUCUAGGGCUGCGAGAAGUGAUGGCAAAACCAGCUUCACUCCAUGAGUACUCAGAUUGCUCAUCACGGCUUUGGCACAGUCAUCUGCAGCCUCCAAGGAGAAGAGAACACUCACAAACUGUGACACAACACGUGUUUUUUCCCUUCCUCUGAGACUCACUGGGAACAAAGCCUUCAUGUAAAUAGUGUCUCAGUACAAUGAUGCAGCUGGCUAAGUAGCUCCCAAUUAAUGGCCAACGAAAUCAGAUGCUUCCAGUUAUUAAGAAGAUCAAAUUGUUAUUAGUGGUAUCUCAAGGGAUAGGUCAUCUUCUCAAUUUGCCUGGUUACAAACAGGAUUCAUAACCAUUCCAUUUGUUUUUCUCUUAAUGCUCUGUGAUUGCAGAAAGUGAAGGCGCUUACCUCUCGCACGUACUGGUUCCCAUCUCCAAAACAAAGGAGCAAGUGAGGCAGCACAUGAACCACAUAGGGCUCAAAGAGCUUCCCAAGCAUGCUACAGAGCAUCUCGAAGGCAAACAGAGCCCCUAAAAACCCAAAAAGCACAGUCAGAGGAAAACACAACUUCAUAUAAAGCGGAUGGAAAAAGAAAAUUGUUUGCAAAAUAUCUGACAAUUCCUCCGGAAGCACUUAAAACCUCACAGCUUAAAGUCUCUUGCUUUCUUGCCCUUGUGGCUUGUGCUGUAGUGGGGAUUUGUGACCUCAGAAAAGGAGCCCCCCCAGCAAAACCUGCCUCUGAAAACAGGAGGGAGGGGCACAUGUGUAUGGUCUAGCACCAGAAACCCUUCUUCCACCACGAUGUGAACAGAGCAAUUUUAUGGCCUCAAAACAGUCACUUCCCAUUUCUUUCUCUUCAAACUUUAGUAAAAUAAAUGUAGCUAAGCCAAGCACAAGGGUGCAGGCACUUCAUCUGACCAGAGUGGUAGUGGGUACAGAGAAAUAUCGGGUAUCUGGAGGGAAAAGCUUUUGUCCCUUACCCUCCCGCCGGCGGAAGUUCUUCUUGUCCUGGAUGGCGUCGGUCAGCGUGGUCAUCAUCUCCUGCUGCUUGAGAGACAGGAUGCCCAGGCCUUUGACCAGCCCUGCCAGCCCAUAGGCUGCACCUUUGCGCUCAGCGUACUUAUCAGACUCCAGAAGCAGCUGCAUCAGCUUCUGGAUCAUUCCUCCUGCGUCCUCCUUAAUGGCAGGCACCAGAGGCGGUAAACAGCUUGCCACUGACUCUUGAACCUGUAAAACAAUCCACCAGCCAUCAGACCACUAAAUAUUCAUCACUAACAUAACUCCCCCCUAGACUGCACCCCCAAUGACACCUUUCUGUCACCAGAACCAUUUUUCAUCUCUCUGACAUCCCUAAAAGUAUCCUAGUGUUAAACUGCCUCUGUGGGGAACCUGAGAACUCCUCCCAGAAGGCACCUACCUGCUGAGAUGGGGUGGACAAGGCUGCUAUAAGUUUGCCAACAAUUGGUUUCACUUUAGGGUCACUCUUGUCCAGAUGUUUUGCCAGUGACCCCAUCAGAAUGACCACGCUUUGCCUGACAGCAUCAUAGCUGGCAUCAUUAGGAGCAUUUUUCAGGAAUUCUUCAAACACUGGCAAGAGAGAGUUAACAUUGUCCUGAAAAACAAAACCACAGAACUUGCCACUAGAGUCCACUCAGAAUGAGAUUUGCUAUGCUCAGUGGACUUGUUUGUUCUUCUCUGAGCCAACAACUGAACAAUCACACUGUAUUUACAGUUCAUUUCAUGUGUCACAUCGCAUAAAACCUUGUGCCAUCCCAAUAGGCAACAAAUAUUUCCUGCUAGAGAGAAGUCAGCUCUUCAAAAUUAGAUUCCCCAAGCCUGCCAGCAUGAUAUUCUGCCAGAAGCAAUGCAAGCUCCCGGGCCUGAGCAUCAGUGCCUGCUCCUCUGCUUGCCCCAUUUGCAAAGGGAGAGCAGAAACACCAAACAAACUUCACACAGUUUUUCUAAGAAACAGAAGGAAAGAACGAAUAAUAUGAAAAUACCCAGAUUGUCUUGGGCUAAACAGGAAUACAGACCUUUGUCCAGAGGUGACUGGCAAGUAUAAGGAAAUUAGAAGCUGAGCAAUUCCCACCCUGCACACCUCCCCCAUGUGACACUGCUUGGAAAGGGCUGGCAGGGAGAAGGAUGGUCCUCAGUUCCCUCAACAACUUCAGCUGUUUUCAGUUUAAUUAAGCCAACAAUCGGCAAGCUUUCAUGUUUUGCUUCACAUGAAGCCUGAAAAGGAAUUCUCAUCUUCCCAGUAUUAAAAGAUCCAUGGUCUGAUUUCACUUUUAUUACUCUAGUUUUAUACCAUUUCAAAUCCAGUUGAUUCAAGGGUAUUUCUUUUUUAUAGCAAUGACAGGGAAGAACCACACUUAGUCAACACUAACAGAACAACUCUGAACACACAAAAACUCCUAAAUGAAGUUUUCAGCUGUUACAAGUAAUGGCAACCUCUAAGAAAGUUGAAAAAAAAAUUUUUUAAAAAUAAAAUCUGUGGGCUCCAAGACACUAUCUACAUUUUCAUCACAUCUUUGUUCCACUGCUAGAGAAAGAAAUGUUCAGACUUACUUUGCCAUGAGUGUUGAGCGUUGAAAGAGCUGCAUCUAACAUGCACUUCCUGACCUCAGGACUGCGAUCAUUCAGAGCAUCCGGCACAAAAAACUGAAAGAGGGGCUUCACCUGAGAACUGUCCAGAUGCUCUGAGAGCUUGUUGAGAGCCAGAGCUAUGCCACACCUGUGAAGAUGGUGAGCCUGUAAGCUUACUGACUUUUCACAGAAUUUACUUGAGCUCACAAUCACAUUUGCUAUCAGCAGUACAUUAAAAAAUUGAGAGAGAACGAGCCAUAAUGAAAACAAAGAGCCUCAGAGUGUCCAACCUCUGUGUAUCUCAUUAAUAACCCCAUGCUGCAGCCUCCCAAAAGGUCAACAAUCCCUCAGCCAUAGAAGGACUUUUAUCUCGAUUACGCAUUACAGAUACUUGAGCCAUCUUAGACAUCAGGAUCACCUCAUCUGCUGCUGAAAUACAGCAGCUUUACAAGGUACAUCAGACUAAAGGACAGAUUAGCUCAAGACAAGAAGCAAACAAGAUGAUCUCCAAUUAAACCUGUAUUGUACACAAGUAAACAAAAAGUUAAUUAUCCAAACUGGAAUUCAUCCAGUUCAUUAAGGUUUGCACUGCUGCUCUUGAACUAAUCAAUGGCCCAUACAGAGGUGAGGACACAGUAAGAUAAGACAAAAAUCAGACAGUCUGAGAGAAAGACUGUUCUUAUUAGGACAAAGAGAAGACAGGAUCCAGUAUUUUGAUGGAACUAAAACCAUUUCAGUUCUGCCUGCCCAGUCUGCUUGAGUGGCACAAAUAUUCUCUACCAGAAGGACACGUGAAACCAGCAUUUCAACACAAUUGGGUAUAAUUUGUUCUUCUAAAUAAAAAUCAAAAAUUCUCAUUUAGACGCACAGGAAAUGAUGAGCUCAAUCUGAAGAUGACUGUACCUUGCUUCCCACUGGUCAGGUGGUGAUUCAGAUAUCACUCGUCCCAAAGCAUCCAAAACUGGAGGUGGCCUCUGGAAGGAAAAAAAUUUCAUCAGAAUUCCUUUUCCAAGGAUGGGGACACAGAGGAUCUGUCAGCCAUAGCUGCAGUGCCAUUUGAUAAUACUGCACAGAGGUAUGAUACCACUACCAGAAGAGCACAGUAAAAAAACAAGAAGAAAGUUUAGACCCCAAAUGACUUAAACUGACCCUGCCCUGUCACAGCCUUCCUGGACCACCUAAGGCACACCUUCCUUCAGUACAGUGGUGCUAUUGCUGGUGCAAGACACUGAAGUCUGUGAGAAGCUCAAACACAGCAGCAGUAGGCUCAAUGCACAUCUUCAAGAGAGACGAAAGGAAAAGCAACAAAAAAUACAAAGCACGAGCUCGUGCCUGUCAAUCCCUUAGGACAAGAGUACUUACAUAGAGCUUCUCCUGGUAAAUCUCCGUGAGUUUGCUCAUGACCUCUGCUGCUUGCUUUCGGUACUGAGCUACAGCUCUGGAAAGAGCUUCAGCCCCUGCUUGUCUCACUGCCUCUUCGUGGUAGAUGACAUCUUUGAUCAGCAGAGAACAGAGGUCAGGCUGCAGCUCCAGCCCCAUGGACUCCCACAGCCUGCAGGGCACAGAGAGAGGUGAUGGGUCACCCUUCAGCAAGGGUACUACACGUAGUAUCGAGGUGGCCUAGAGCUCCAGCUGCAGGGGCAAAGUCCUGCAGUGCAGCUCACUGAGGUGAGCAGAGGAGAGAUCCCCUUAAAAAUCAGCCAAGAACAACUCUCACCUCUCUGCCAGCUUCUGAAUCUCAUCUUUGACAUCAAACUUUACUACCCAGAGGCGCCGCAACAGGUUCAGUCCAUUCUUCUCAUCACUGUCUGGGGUUGGCAGAACCAUUUGUAGCUCCAUCAGUCCCUGAAUUAGUUUACAGGAGAAUCAGUGCAAGGAUCUGAUUUUCAGAAACAGAUGCUUUAAAACACUUAAAACCUUUGCCCAGUCAAGCUCUCAGUGGUUGGAAGUGUCAAAAUUCAUGUCUGCUGGUGCCUUACACUGCCUCUGCUGGUCAAGGACUUCCUAUUGCUAAUAGGUGAGCUGGUGAAACUCAGGAAUAGUGCUCCACAGGCAGGAUGCAGAGAGGCUCUGGUGACUACAGUCUUUUCUGCUUCUAAGUACAAAGACAGCUCAAGUGAGCUAAGCUGGAAUUUGUUUCAUGGCAAAGAAAAUCAAGCACCCUUGGGAUGUUUCCUUCUAUGUUCUCAGAAGUGACUAAGCUGAGGCUUUCCAAUACACACAUAGGAAUUUUCUGACAGUUUCUCUCUCUAAGACCAAGUCUAUGCAAUUGUAAAUAGAAGGUGUUAAGUUGUCCUAAUCACACCUGUUUUAAUAAAACAAAGAUGUGCAUAAACCCAGAGUACCCCUAAAUCUAGCACAAAGAGCACUGAGCAUUAUCACUCAGACUGCCCCCUCCAGCAGGCACACUACCCUAAGACUGCCAUCACAGCUGAAGCCUCUCUUCAUCAGUGUUAGAGAAGAUUCACCUCCCAAAGAUCUCAGGAAUUCGGUGUGACCCUGAAUGAUUCCACCUACCCUGAGAGCUGCAUCCCGAACGUUCAUGCAGGGAGACUGCAGGGCCUGCAGGAGCACGUCGAUCUCCUCCUGCUCGGCGUAGGCACAGCCGUCCUCCCCGCUGCUGCUCGCGCACAGCGAGGUCAGCGCCUCGGAAGCCAACACCUAAAAUGCCACGAGGAAAUAUGAGGGAUUCCACUACAACUUGUACUUCUGUCAAAGCAAGAGCAGAGUAGGGGCUGAGUGCCAUCACAGGAGGAGGAAUUCCCAAAGAACAGGGACAAAACCGAGUUCAGUCCUACUCUCUGAUUUUUAUCAUUGACCUUUCUGCCAUCUCAUCCCUUAGAACAAACCCUGAGAGGAGCCACUACUGAACUUCUUCAGCAGAGCAAGGCCUUAGAGAAGGAAACAAUGUCACCUGUGGAAGACUAAAGGAUAUGUCUCGUGCAAUAAGACCCACAGGAAAAAAAAGAUGUAUACAUUUUAUUCCAAGAUACCACAAACACAGGAGAAAAUUGGGACUGUAUCGACCACCAGCCUCAGAGACUUAAACCAGUUGAGUGCAUUUCCAUUAUUUAGGUGCUGAUGAAAGUUAGGGAGAAUCCUGAUAGUUAUGAUGCUGAGGACUCACCUGUAACCGUGGAGAACCUGUUCCUAUCACCCGGGUCAGCAGAACCAGCAUGUCCCUCCGGGGCAGCAACUCUGGGCCAUUCUGAAAAGUGAAGAUGAAAAGUUUUAUGUCUUGUGACUCUGAAGUACCUUGUCUGUGUAUGACAUUUCUUAAAAAAUCACAACCAAAACCUAGGGCUGGAUAGGUACCAAAACCUGUGACAUAAAACAAUCUCUACCUUCUUAACUUUAACUUGCAGAAUUAAUCUGCUUUGUCCAGUUUACACAUCAGUUGUUUUAUCCUAAGGCUCAUCUGAUCAACUGCUGGAUCCCCACAGCUCUCACCUCAUCCACCAGCAAUGCCUGGCCAUUUCCUGAUGAUCUCAGCUGAGCAUGGACCGUAAGGAUCUGCAGAAUCUUGACCAGGAACUCCUCCUUGUCCUCGCUGUCAUGAGGUGUCUCGGUCAUAACUGUCUUCAGGAGAGGAAAGACUAAGGAAAAUGCUGGAGCUGAUAAUGGGGCAGCACCUGUGAAAAGGAAAAACAACCCUGUGAACACAGCUGAUCCCCCCAUGGCUUUUUUAUAACACUGAUUGGUAUAAAAUGUACACUUGGGUGUGUGGCCAAGCUUCAGCCUCAUGCACAAACAUGCUGAGUGACCCUAAGUAUUGCUAUGCCCCUGCUCCAUCAGUGACUUCUGGCAUUUCAGUGCCAGGUUAAGGGUAGGACUUGAUGAUCUUAAGGAUCUUUGCCAACCUAAAUGAUUCUAUGAUUGUGUCUGGCUUUAAUUAAAGUCACAUUAGGAUUCCAAAUUACUUCCAAUGUCUCAACAGUGCAAAAAUACACAUUGUAAAUGAAAUUUAAACAAUUCAAUGGAUUAAAGUAGACAGGCAAAACUGAGGUUUUGUCUAUACUGGAAAUACUUGCAGGCAGCAGGGGAUGGGACACAAAAUCAGAUCCAUUACACAACCAAAGCUGAAAUAAAAUCUAUUUUAGUCAA
Long non-coding RNA from Pseudopipra pipra, 19059 nucleotides. RefSeq lists it as uncharacterized. Lineage: Eukaryota; Metazoa; Chordata; Aves; Passeriformes; Pipridae. The record is from RefSeq and is a predicted model, not a curated record. The transcript has 2 exons.